Molecule: long non-coding RNA, 225 nt
Filed under: Medicago truncatula (barrel medic)
Lineage: Eukaryota; Viridiplantae; Streptophyta; Magnoliopsida; Fabales; Fabaceae
Description: long non-coding RNA (MTRU_LNC006879)
Source: RNAcentral
AACAAUUCAAAUUACAUUGCAGCGGAAAAAAUUCAUUAAACAACGUAAUGGCACAACGACCUCAAAAUAAACAACUUAUCAAAAUUCCAUUCUAGGUGGUUCAUCAACAUAAAUCAUAAAAAUACGUAACACAUGGAAACAAAGCAAGAUCCCCAUCCGUUACGUAUCAGAGCGACCCUAAGACGACGCGUGAGAGAGUCAAAUCACUUCAACAACUAAUCUUGG